GCAGGGCGGCAGGCUACCAUGCAAGUCGAGCGGUAACAGAUCCAGCUUGCUGGAUGCUGACGAGCGGCGGACGGGUGAGUAAUGCAUAGGAAUCUGCCCGAUAGUGGGGGAUAACCUGGGGAAACCCAGGCUAAUACCGCAUACGUCCUACGGGAGAAAGGGGGCUUCGGCUCCCGCUAUCGGAUGAGCCUAUGUCGGAUUAGCUAGUUGGUGAGGUAACGGCUCACCAAGGCCACGAUCCGUAGCUGGUCUGAGAGGAUGAUCAGCCACAUCGGGACUGAGACACGGCCCGAACUCCUACGGGAGGCAGCAGUGGGGAAUAUUGGACAAUGGGGGGAACCCUGAUCCAGCCAUGCCGCGUGUGUGAAGAAGGCCCUCGGGUUGUAAAGCACUUUCAGCGAGGAAGAACGCCUAGCGGUUAAUACCCGCUAGGAAAGACAUCACUCGCAGAAGAAGCACCGGCUAACUCCGUGCCAGCAGCCGCGGUAAUACGGAGGGUGCAAGCGUUAAUCGGAAUUACUGGGCGUAAAGCGCGCGUAGGUGGCUUGAUAAGCCGGUUGUGAAAGCCCCGGGCUCAACCUGGGAACGGCAUCCGGAACUGUCAAGCUAGAGUGCAGGAGAGGAAGGUAGAAUUCCCGGUGUAGCGGUGAAAUGCGUAGAGAUCGGGAGGAAUACCAGUGGCGAAGGCGGCCUUCUGGACUGACACUGACACUGAGGUGCGAAAGCGUGGGUAGCAAACAGGAUUAGAUACC
This 752-nucleotide ribosomal RNA is filed under the name Vreelandella aquamarina. Its description in RNAcentral is "bacterial SSU rRNA". It matches the Rfam family "Bacterial small subunit ribosomal RNA", at positions 35 to 786 of the family's 1533-position model. Lineage: Bacteria; Pseudomonadati; Pseudomonadota; Gammaproteobacteria; Oceanospirillales; Halomonadaceae. The record is from RNAcentral.